GAUGAAGAACGCAGCGAAAUGCGAUACGUAAUGUGAAUUGCAGAAUUCAGUGAAUCAUCGAAUCUUUGAACGCAUAUUGCGCUCUCUGGUAUUCCGGAGAGCAUGCUUGUUUGAGUAUCAGUAAACACCUCAACUCCCCUUUCUUUUUUUGAAAUGGGAGCUGGACUUGAGUGAUCCCAACGCUUUUCUCACCGAAAAGUGGCGGGUUACUUGAAAUGCAGGUGCAGCUGGACUUUUCUCUGAGCUAAAAGCAUAUCUAUUUAGUCUGCCUAAAAAACAGAUUAUUACCUUUGCUGCAGCUAACAUAAAGGAGAUUAGUUCUUGUGCUGACUGAUGCAGGAUUCACAGAGACAGCUUCGGCUGGCCAUUGUAAACUCGAUCUCAAAUCAAGUAAGACUACCCGCUGAACUUAAGCAUAUCAAUAAGCGGAGGA
This 433-nucleotide unclassified non-coding RNA is filed under the name soil metagenome. Its description in RNAcentral is "partial contains 5.8S ribosomal RNA, internal transcribed spacer 2, and large subunit ribosomal RNA". The stretch from base 1 to 120 matches the Rfam family "5.8S ribosomal RNA", at positions 35 to 154 of the family's 154-position model. The record is from RNAcentral.